UAGAGUUUGAUCCUGGCUCAGGACGAACGCUGGCGGCGUGCCUAAUACAUGCAAGUUGAGCGCUGAAGGUUGGUACUUGUACCGACUGGAUGAGCAGCGAACGGGUGAGUAACGCGUGGGGAAUCUGCCUUUGAGCGGGGGACAACAUUUGGAAACGAAUGCUAAUACCGCAUAAAAACUUUAAACACAAGUUUUAAGUUUGAAAGAUGCAAUUGCAUCACUCAAAGAUGAUCCCGCGUUGUAUUAGCUAGUUGGUGAGGUAAAGGCUCACCAAGGCGAUGAUACAUAGCCGACCUGAGAGGGUGAUCGGCCACAUUGGGACUGAGACACGGCCCAAACUCCUACGGGAGGCAGCAGUAGGGAAUCUUCGGCAAUGGACGAAAGUCUGACCGAGCAACGCCGCGUGAGUGAAGAAGGUUUUCGGAUCGUAAAACUCUGUUGGUAGAGAAGAACGUUGGUGAGAGUGGAAAGCUCAUCAAGUGACGGUAACUACCCAGAAAGGGACGGCUAACUACGUGCCAGCAGCCGCGGUAAUACGUAGGUCCCGAGCGUUGUCCGGAUUUAUUGGGCGUAAAGCGAGCGCAGGUGGUUUAUUAAGUCUGGUGUAAAAGGCAGUGGCUCAACCAUUGUAUGCAUUGGAAACUGGUAGACUUGAGUGCAGGAGAGGAGAGUGGAAUUCCAUGUGUAGCGGUGAAAUGCGUAGAUAUAUGGAGGAACACCGGUGGCGAAAGCGGCUCUCUGGCCUGUAACUGACACUGAGGCUCGAAAGCGUGGGGAGCAAACAGGAUUAGAUACCCUGGUAGUCCACGCCGUAAACGAUGAGUGCUAGAUGUAGGGAGCUAUAAGUUCUCUGUAUCGCAGCUAACGCAAUAAGCACUCCGCCUGGGGAGUACGACCGCAAGGUUGGAACUCAAAGGAAUUGAC
RNAcentral lists this ribosomal RNA (924 nucleotides) under uncultured Lactococcus sp. RNAcentral describes it as "bacterial SSU rRNA". It matches the Rfam family "Bacterial small subunit ribosomal RNA", at positions 1 to 914 of the family's 1533-position model. The record is from RNAcentral. Lineage: Bacteria; Bacillati; Bacillota; Bacilli; Lactobacillales; Streptococcaceae.